RNAcentral lists this ribosomal RNA (1361 nucleotides) under metagenome. RNAcentral's name for it is "bacterial LSU rRNA". It matches the Rfam family "Bacterial large subunit ribosomal RNA", at positions 1590 to 2925 of the family's 2925-position model. The record is from RNAcentral.
CUGAGCCAUGCCCCGCUUCCAGGAAAAGCCUCUAAGCUUCAGAUCACACUGGACCGUACCGUAAACCGACACUGGUGGGUGAGCAGAUAAUCUGCCAAGGCGCUUGAGAGAACUCGGGUUAAGGAACUCUGCAAAUUGAUACCGUAACUUCGGAAGAAGGUAUGCCUUCGACGGUGUAGGGAUUUACUCCCGAAGCUGUUGAAGGUCGCAGGUAAUCGGUGGCUGCGACUGUUUAUCAAAAACACAGGACUCUGCGAACACGCAAGUGGAAGUAUAGGGUCUGACGCCUGCCCGGUGCCGGAAGGUUAAUUGAUGGGGUUAGCCGCAAGGCGAAGCUCUUGAUCGAAGCCCCGGUAAACGGCGGCCGUAACAAUAACGGUCCUAAGGUAGCGAAAUUCCUUGUCGGGUAAGUUCCGACCUGCACGAAUGGCGUAACGCUGGCCACACUGUCCCGACCCGAGACUCAGUGAAGUUGAAAUCGCUGUGAAGAUGCGGCGUUCCCGCGGCAAGACGGAAAGACCCCGUGAACCUUCACUACAGCUUUACAUUGAACUUUGAAUCUUCCUGUGUAGCAUAGGUGGGAGGCUUUGAAGCCUGGGCGCUAGCUCAGGUGGAGCCAACGUUGAAAUACCACCCUGGGAUAUUCGGAGUUCUAACCUUGGUCCGUAAUCCGGAUUGGGGACAAUGUAUGGUGGGUAGUUUGACUGGGGCGGUCUCCUCCCAAAGAGUAACGGAGAGUGCAAUGGUACGCUCAGCGCGGUCGGUCAUCGCGCUCUAGAGUGCAAAGGCAUAAGCGUGCUUAACUGUGAGACAGACACGUCGAACAGGUACGAAAGUAGGUCUUAGUGAUCCGGUGGUUCUGUAUGGAAGGGCCAUCGCUCAACGGAUAAAAGGUACUCCGGGGAUAACAGGCUUAUUCCUCCCAAGAGUCCACAUCGACGGAGGAGUUUGGCACCUCGAUGUCGGCUCAUCACAUCCUGGGGCUGUAGCAGGUCCCAAGGGUAUGGCUGUUCGCCAUUUAAAGUGGUACGCGAGCUGGGUUCAGAACGUCGUGAGACAGUUCGGUCCCUAUCUGCCGUGGGCGUUGGAAACUUGAGGGUGAGCUGUCCUUAGUACGAGAGGACCGGGAUGGACGUAUCUCUGGUGUUCCGGUUGUCACGCCAGUGGCACUGCCGGGUAGCUAUAUACGGACGGGAUAAGCGCUGAAAGCAUCUAAGCGCGAAGCCCCCCCCAAGAUUAGGUUUCCCUGGGAACUCGAUUCCCCUAAAGGGCCGUCGGAGACUACGACGUUGAUAGGCUGGGUGUGUAAGUGCAGCAAUGCAUUGAGCUAACCAGUACUAAUUGCCCGUGAGGCUUGACCU